Molecule: ribosomal RNA, 434 nt
Filed under: uncultured bacterium
Lineage: Bacteria
Description: partial 16S ribosomal RNA
Rfam family: Bacterial small subunit ribosomal RNA
Source: RNAcentral
AACGAACGCUGGCGGCAUGCCUAACACAUGCAAGUCGAACGAGACCUUCGGGUCUAGUGGCGCACGGGUGCGUAACGCGUGGGAACCUGCCCUUAGGUUCGGAAUAACUCCCCGAAAGGGGUGCUAAUACCGGAUAAUGUCUUCGGACCAAAGAUUUAUCGCCUUUGGAUGGGCCCGCGUUGGAUUAGCUAGUUGGUAGGGUAAAAGCCUACCAAGGCGACGAUCCAUAGCUGGUCUGAGAGGAUGAUCAGCCACACUGGGACUGAGACACGGCCCAGACUUCUACCGGAAGGAAGCAGUGGGGAUAUUGGAAAAAUGGGCGAAAGCCUGAUCCAGCAAUGCCGCGUGAGUGAUGAAGGCCUUAGGGUUGUAAAGCUCUUUUACCCGGGAUGAUAAUGACAGUACCGGGAGAAUAAGCUCCGGCUAACUCCGUG